This 498-nucleotide ribosomal RNA is filed under the name uncultured bacterium. Its description in RNAcentral is "partial 16S ribosomal RNA". It matches the Rfam family "Bacterial small subunit ribosomal RNA", at positions 30 to 523 of the family's 1533-position model. The record is from RNAcentral.
AUUGAACGCUGGCGGCAUGCUUUACACAUGCAAGUCGAACGGCAGCGCGGGGCAACCUGGCGGCGAGUGGCGAACGGGUGAGUAAUAUAUCGGAACGUACCCAGAAGUGGGGGAUAACGUAGCGAAAGUUACGCUAAUACCGCAUACGAUCUACGGAAGAAAGUGGGGGACCUUCGUGCCUCUGGCUGUUGGAUCGGCCGAUAUCUGGUUAGCUAGUUGGUAGGGUAAAGGCCUACCAAGGCGACGAUCAGUAGCUGGUCUGAGAGGAAGACCAGCCACACAGGGACUGAGACACGGCCCAGACUCCUACGGUAGGCAGCAGUGGGGAAUUUUGGACAAUGGGCGCAAGCCUGAUCCAGCAAUGCCGCGUGAGUGAAGAAGGCCUUCGGGUUGUAAAGCUCUUUUGUCAGGGAAGAAACGGCGAUUUCUAAUGAAGAUUGCUAAUGACGGUACCUGAAGAAUAAGCACCGGCUAACUACGUGCCAGCCGCCGCAGUAA